Molecule: unclassified non-coding RNA, 298 nt
Filed under: uncultured Cortinarius
Lineage: Eukaryota; Fungi; Basidiomycota; Agaricomycetes; Agaricales; Cortinariaceae
Description: sequence contains ITS2
Rfam family: 5.8S ribosomal RNA (bases 1-52)
Source: RNAcentral
AACGCACCUUGCGCUCCUUGGUAUUCCGAGGAGCAUGCCUGUUUGAGUGUCAUUAAUAUAUAUCAACCUCUUCAACUGUGUUGAGUGUUGGAUGUGGGGGUUUCCUUUUGCUGGCCUCUUUAAAAAGGUCAGCUCCCCUAAAAUGUAUUAGCGGAACAGUUUGUGGAUCGUUCAUUGGUGUGAUAACUAUCUACGCUAUAGACGAGAAACAGUUUCUGCUUCUAAUAGUCCAUUUAUUUGGACAACUCUUUUUUAUUAAUGUGACCUCAAAUCAGGUAGGACUACCCGCUGAACUUAA